RNAcentral lists this ribosomal RNA (493 nucleotides) under uncultured bacterium. RNAcentral describes it as "bacterial SSU rRNA". It matches the Rfam family "Bacterial small subunit ribosomal RNA", at positions 8 to 518 of the family's 1533-position model. The record is from RNAcentral.
AGAGUUGAUCGAUGGCUCAGGACGAACGCUGGCGGCGUGCCUAACACAUGCAAGUCGAGCGAGGAGAUCCUUCGGGAUGAUCCUAGCGGCGGACGGGUGAGUAACACGUGGGCAACCUGCCUCAUAGAGAGGAAUAGCCUUCCGAAAGGGAGAUUAAUACCUCAUAACAUUGCAGUUUCGCAUGGAACAGCAAUUAAAGGAGUAAUCCGCUAUGAGAUGGGCCCGCGGCGCAUUAGCUAGUUGGUGAGGUAACGGCUCACCAAGGCGACGAUGCGUAGCCGACCUGAGAGGGUGAUCGGCCACAUUGGGACUGAGACACGGCCCAGACUCCUACGGGAGGCAGCAGUGGGGAAUAUUGCACAAUGGGGGAAACCCUGAUGCCAGCAACGCCGCGUGAGUGAUGACGGCCUUCGGGUUGUAAAGCUCUGUCUUCAGGGACGAUAAUGACGGUACCUGAGGAGGAAGCCACGGCUAACUACGUGCCAGCCGCCGC